Molecule: ribosomal RNA, 436 nt
Filed under: Micromonospora coriariae
Lineage: Bacteria; Bacillati; Actinomycetota; Actinomycetes; Micromonosporales; Micromonosporaceae
Description: bacterial SSU rRNA
Rfam family: Bacterial small subunit ribosomal RNA
Source: RNAcentral
GAUCCAUGGCUCAGGACGAACGCUGGCGGCGUGCUUAACACAUGCAAGUCGAGCGGAAAGGCCCUUCGGGGUACUCGAGCGGCGAACGGGUGAGUAACACGUGAGCAACCUGCCCCAGGCUUUGGGAUAACCCCGGGAAACCGGGGCUAAUACCGAAUAUGACCUGGCCUCGCAUGAGGCUGGGUGGAAAGUUUUUCGGCUUGGGAUGGGCUCGCGGCCUAUCAGCUUGUUGGUGGGGUGAUGGCCUACCAAGGCGACGACGGGUAGCCGGCCUGAGAGGGCGACCGGCCACACUGGGACUGAGACACGGCCCAGACUCCUACGGGAGGCAGCAGUGGGGAAUAUUGCACAAUGGGCGGAAGCCUGAUGCAGCGACGCCGCGUGAGGGAUGACGGCCUUCGGGUUGUAAACCUCUUUCAGCAGGGACGAAGCGUAA